GACGAACGCUGGCGGCGUGCUUAACACAUGCAAGUCGAGGGCACCCCGCAAGGGGUGACCGGCGAACGGGUGCGUAACACGUGAGCGACCUUCCGUCUUCUGGGGGAUAGCCGGCCCAACGGCCGGGUAAUACCGCAUACGCUCUGUGGGCUUCAUGGCCUGUAGAGGAAACUUCCGGGGGAGGACGAGGGGCUCGCGGCCUAUCAGCUAGUUGGGGGGUAACGGGCCGUCCCAA
RNAcentral lists this ribosomal RNA (235 nucleotides) under uncultured bacterium. RNAcentral describes it as "partial 16S ribosomal RNA". It matches the Rfam family "Bacterial small subunit ribosomal RNA", at positions 28 to 271 of the family's 1533-position model. The record is from RNAcentral.